CCGACUGCUAUUUGGGUGAGAAUAAGCCAUGCGAGUUGAAUGGGAUACCUAAAGUUCCCAUAGCAAACUGCUCAGUAACACAUGAUCAACUUACCCUAUAGAGAAAAAUAACCUCGGGAAACUGAGGAUAAUGUUUCAUAAUUGGAUUGGCUUGGAAAAGUUUUUCAAUGAAAAGGAUAAAAAAAAUGGUUUUUAUCCGCUAUAGGAUAGGAUCGUGUUCGAUUAUGGUUGUUGGUGAGAUAAUGGCUCACCAAGCCGAUAAUCGAUAGGGGCCGUGAGAGCGGGAGCCCCGAGAUGGGUACUGAGACAACGACCCAGGCCUUACGAGGCGCAGCAGGCGCGAAACCUCCGCAAUACACGAAAGUGUGACGGGGUCACCCAAAGUGUUCAAUUUGAACUGUGGUAGGUGAGUAAUGUCCCCUACUAGAAAGGAGAGGGCAAGGCUGGUGCCAGCCGCCGCGGUAAAACCAGCUCUUCAAGUGGUCGGGAUAAUUAUUGGGCUCAAAGUGUCCGUAGCCGGUUUAGUAAGUUCCUGGUAAAAUCGGGUAGCUUAACUAUCUGCAUGCUAGGAAUACUGCUAUACUAGAGGGCGGGAGAGGUCUGAGGUACUACAGGGGUAGGGGUGAAAUCUUAUAAUCCUUGUAGGACCACCAGUGGCGAAGGCGUCAGACUGGAACGCGCCUGACGGUGAGGGACGAAAGCCAGGGGAGCGAACCGGAUUAGAUACCCGGGUAGUCCUGGCCGUAAACGAUGCAUACUAGGUGAUGGUACGGCCAUGAGCCGUAUCAGUGCCGUAGGGAAACCGUUAAGUGUGCCGCCUGGGAAGUACGGUCGCAAGGCUAAAACUUAAAGGGAAUUGGCGGGGG
RNAcentral lists this ribosomal RNA (866 nucleotides) under uncultured archaeon. RNAcentral's name for it is "bacterial SSU rRNA". It matches the Rfam family "Archaeal small subunit ribosomal RNA", at positions 23 to 874 of the family's 1478-position model. The record is from RNAcentral.